This 425-nucleotide ribosomal RNA is filed under the name uncultured bacterium. RNAcentral describes it as "bacterial SSU rRNA". It matches the Rfam family "Bacterial small subunit ribosomal RNA", at positions 8 to 421 of the family's 1533-position model. The record is from RNAcentral.
AGAGUUUGAUCCUGGCUCAGAACGAACGCUGGCGGCGUGCCUAACACAUGCAAGUCGAACGUGAAAGUCCUUCGGGAUGAGUAAAGUGGCGCACGGGUGAGUAAUGCGUAGAUAAUCUGCCUGGUGAUCUGGGAUAACAUCUCGAAAGGGGUGCUAAUACCGGAUAAGCCCACGGAGUCUUCGGACUUUGCGGGAAAAGGGGGGGACCUUCGGGCCUUCUGUCACCAGAUGAGUCUACGUACCAUUAGCUAGUUGGUGGGGUAAGAGCCCACCAAGGCUACGAUGGUUAGCUGGUCUGAGAGGAUGAUCAGCCACACUGGAACUGAGACACGGUCCAGACUCCUACGGGAGGCAGCAGUGGGGAAUUUUGCGCAAUGGGGGAAACCCUGACGCAGCAACGCCGCGUGAGUGAUGAAGGCCUUCGG